UACAGGGGUAGCUCAGUCGGUAGAGCAUGUGACUCUUAAUCUCAGGAUCAUGGGUUCAAGCCCCAAAUUGGGCAAAA
Non-coding RNA from Podarcis lilfordi (Lilford's wall lizard), 77 nucleotides. Lineage: Eukaryota; Metazoa; Chordata; Lepidosauria; Squamata; Lacertidae. The record is from the annotation of a GenBank genome assembly.